AACCGACUAGCCCCGGGUCGUCCAGUCUUGCAAUACCAGUUUAUGUCUGAGGUGGCGACAGGGAGUAACAUACCGGCCAAACCGUCUUCAGUGCAGCCCAGAGCAGUCGAGAAAGAGACAACGCAAUUACGAACGCUCUGCUCCCACCCUCUCCCCCACGGAGUUCAAGUUCUUCAGUGAAGUGUACUGCGAGAAUGGCCGAAAGUUCUAGGAAGAGACCUCCAUCGCCUCCAGCUAAAAAAAACUCGAUCUGAGGCGAAAAGAAUAUCAGAUGGGAAGCAAGCAAAUACACGUUAAUCUAGGGAGUGCUUUCCACCGAUGGAGACAGCUUGGAUAGCAAGGAGAUGCAGUUCGAUUCUGAACUUGCGACAUUUCUUCUUGACUGGAUCAGAAUUCCAGUUCAGUCCUCCCCUAUGAAGGUGUAACGAUUACAUUGCUGUUGCCCAACAGAUUGGUGUGUCAACAGGUUGAAUUUCCUGCUGCAGAUCACCUCUUCAUUUCCUGUGGCUCAUCAACAUGAAGACUGACUCGUUAGCCCAACUUCUUGCUGUUGAAGACUGCUAAGGACUAUCCAUGUGCCCAGCUGCUUCCCUCCUGCCUCAUAUAGUCCAAAAGUUACAUUUCUAUUCAUGUUGUUGCACUUGGUAGAUGUAAAGUUUAUUCCUGUCUUGUAGUUUUAUAAUACCAAGAAUCAGGAUUGGUGAAACAUUGGUUGUGCCUGAAAGUGUUCUUUGAUCAAGAUUGGUAUACUAACAUCAUGCUUUUAUCUCCUGUUCCUGACUUCUUAGAAUCUAUUUGUUGUUAAAGAGUUGUUUAAACUAAUGUAAUUUCAAGUGGUAGCUUUGGCUCUUGACAUUUGUGCCCAUAGUUUUAAAUAUGAACUCAUAGCCUACAGGUGCAAAGGAAAAGAUGAACAUACCAUUUUAGUCAUAAUUCAGGUAUUCUUUAUGUUACAUGAAAUGUAGCCACUGUGCUCUUAGAAUGGGAAGUUUUAUUGUUAGUUGUAGAGGAUGAUUGUGUAAGGAAUAACGUUCUGUAAGGCGGUCAUUAUGGCGCUGGCCGUGGCCUGCCGAGUUUCACUUUCCUUGACAUUCUCUGGUUAUACUUAGCAACGGUCCGGUAUUAAAAAUUAUCAGACCGUAGGACGUUGGGAAGUCCCAUCGGAGUGAAUGGAGCAUUCUACAGCAUUAUAAAGAGCCGUGUAAUAAAUGGUAAUAAUAAUGACCUCUAAUAGUAAACAGAACGAUUGGCUAUAACCACUGACUACAUGGAGCAUUUUAGUUACUGGCUACGUAGCAAGAACACCUGUGUUGCUGCCAGACUCUCACGGUGACUGUUCUCCAAACGCCUCUGCUGGUCAGCGCGCUCUCUGGCUGCUCUGACAGCCCGAGCCGUCCCUGUACUGUUCUCUCCAGGUCUGGGACUGACACUAGACACCCAGGCCUUUUCUUCUUUGCCUGGCCCUUACGUUUGCCCACUCUUGUCUGACUCGAUGCAGGGGGGGAUGUAAUCUUCGUCGUCAGUCUCCACCCGAAAAAAAUACCUUAUUACUAUUUUCAGUUUUAUCCAUCCAUACAAUCGCUACUACACGCAGGCUAGGCCUAGCCUUUGCUAAGACUAGCUUGCCAAAUGCCGCUAGCAAAUUUGUAUUUAUUUCUCAAAUGUCUCAUUACCAACAAUACCAGUGUGAAAAGCAAAACGUUAAUAAAAACUGUUAUAUGUAGUGAUCGGGUAAGGGUGAGCCGCUUGAAGAAGACAUUUUCCGGAUUUAGGAGUUUUUUUUUUCUAGGCGGCGACCAUAGACACAGAGACAUUCUCUGAUA
Alosa sapidissima (American shad) is the source of this 1823-nucleotide long non-coding RNA. RefSeq lists it as uncharacterized. The record is from RefSeq and is a predicted model, not a curated record. The transcript has 3 exons. Lineage: Eukaryota; Metazoa; Chordata; Actinopteri; Clupeiformes; Clupeidae.